AAUGAACGUUGGCGGCGUGGAUUAGGCAUGCAAGUCGAGCGCGAUGAGUUUGGUAGCUUGCUAUUGAACUCGGAAAGCGGCGAAAGGGAGAGUAACGCGUAGUUACGUGCCCCAGGGUUCGGAAUAGCCACGGGAAACUGUGGGUAAUGCCGAAUAACAUCUCCGGAUCAAAGGUGUGAUUCCGCCCUGGGAGCGGACUGCGUCCUACUAGCUAGUUGGCGGGGUAAUGGCCCACCAAGGCAACAAUGGGUAGCGGGUGUGAGAGCAUGACCCGUCUCACUGGGACUGAGACACUGCCCAGACACCUACGGGUGGCUGCAGUCGAGAAUCUUCGGCAAUGGGCGAAAGCCUGACCGAGCGACGCCGCGUGCGGGAUGAAGGCCCUCGGGUUGUAAACCGCUGUCGUAGGGGAGGAAGGCUCUGUGAAGAACAGGGUUUGACCUAUCCUAGGAGGAAGUACGGGCUAAGUUCGUGCCAGCCGCCGCAGAGA
This 490-nucleotide ribosomal RNA is filed under the name uncultured bacterium. Its description in RNAcentral is "partial 16S ribosomal RNA". It matches the Rfam family "Bacterial small subunit ribosomal RNA", at positions 29 to 523 of the family's 1533-position model. The record is from RNAcentral.